UAGUCCACGCCGUAAACGAUGGGCACUAGGUGUCGGGGGUUCUUGUCCCUUCGAUGCCGCCGCUAACGCAUUAAGUGCCCCGCCUGGGGAGUACGGUCGCAAGAUUAAAACUCAAAGAAAUUGACGGGGGCCCGCACAAGCGGUGGAGUAUGUGGUUUAAUUCGAGGCAACGCGAAAAACCUUACCUGGGCUUGACAUCCCGCGCUACCCUGUGAAAGCAGGGGUUCCCUUCGGGGACGCGGUGACAGGUGCUGCAUGGCUGUCGUCAGCUCGUGUCGUGAGAUGUUGGGUUAAGUCCCGCAACGAGCGCAACCCUUGCCAUUAGUUGCCAGCAUUUAGUUGGGCACUCUAAUGGGACCGCUUGGAGAUAAUCCAGAGGAAGGUGGGGAUGACGUCAAGUCCGCAUGGCCCUUACGUCCAGGGGCUACACACGUACUACAAUGGCCGGUACAAAGCGCAGCGACAAUGU
Molecule: ribosomal RNA, 469 nt
Filed under: uncultured bacterium
Lineage: Bacteria
Description: bacterial SSU rRNA
Rfam family: Bacterial small subunit ribosomal RNA
Source: RNAcentral